This 466-nucleotide ribosomal RNA is filed under the name uncultured bacterium. Its description in RNAcentral is "partial 16S ribosomal RNA". It matches the Rfam family "Bacterial small subunit ribosomal RNA", at positions 28 to 507 of the family's 1533-position model. The record is from RNAcentral.
GAUGAACGCUGGCGGCGUGCUUAACACAUGCAAGUCGAACGAUGAAGCCCAGCUUGCUGGGUGGAUUAGUGGCGAACGGGUGAGUAACACGUGAGUAACCUGCCCUUAACUCUGGGAUAAGCCUGGGAAACUGGGUCUAAUACCGGAUAGGAGCGCCUACCGCAUGGGGGGUGUUGGAAAGAUUUAUCGGGUUUGGAUGGACUCGCGGCCUAUCAGCUUGUUGGUGAGGUAAUGGCUCACCAAGGCGACGACGGGUAGCCGGCCUGAGAGGGUGACCGGCCACACUGGGACUGAGACACGGCCCAGACUCCUACGGGAGGCAGCAGUGGGGAAUAUUGCACAAUGGGCGGAAGCCUGAUGCAGCGACGCCGCGUGAGGGAUGACGGCCUUCGGGUUGUAAACCGCUUUCAGUAGGGAAGAAGCGAAAGUGACGGUACCUGCAGAAGAAGCACCGGCUAACUACGUG